This 851-nucleotide ribosomal RNA is filed under the name uncultured Bacteroidota bacterium. Its description in RNAcentral is "bacterial SSU rRNA". It matches the Rfam family "Bacterial small subunit ribosomal RNA", at positions 57 to 898 of the family's 1533-position model. Lineage: Bacteria; Pseudomonadati; Bacteroidota. The record is from RNAcentral.
GCAAGUCGAGGGGCAGCAUAAAUUACUUGUAAUUUGAUGGCGACCGGCGAACGGGUGCGUAACGCGUAUGCAACCUACCUUUUACUAGAGAAUAGCCAAGAGAAAUUUUGAUUAAUGCUCUAUACACUUUAAGACACACAUGAGUCUAAAAGAAAAGCUCCGGCGGUAAAAGAUGGGCAUGCGUUCUAUUAGCUUGUAGGUGAGGUAACGGCUCGCCUAAGCUUCGAUAGAUAGGGGUCCUGAGAGGGAGACCCCCCACACUGGUACUGAGACACGGACCAGACUUCUACGGAAGGCAGCAGUAAGGAAUAUUGGACAAUGGAGGCAACUCUGAUCCAGCCAUGCCGCGUGAAGGAAGAAGGCCCUAUGGGUCGUAAACUUCUUUUAUACAGGAAGAAAUCUUUCCACGCGUGGAAAGUUGACGGUACUGUAAGAAUAAGGAUCGGCUAACUCCGUGCCAGCAGCCGCGGUAAUACGGAGGACCCAAGCGUUAUCCGGAAUUAUUGGGUUUAAAGGGUCCGCAGGCUGUUUGUUAAGUUAGAGGUGAAAUCCUACCGCUCAACGGUAGAACUGCCUUUAAAACUGGCAAACUUGAGUUAUUGUGAAGUAAUUAGAAUGUGUAGUGUAGCGGUGAAAUGCAUAGAUAUUACACAGAAUACCGAUUGCGAAAGCAGAUUACUAACAACUAACUGACGCUGAGGGACGAAAGCGUGGGUAGCGAACAGGAUUAGAUACCCUGGUAGUCCACGCCGUAAACGAUGGUCACUAGCUGUUUGAUGUACAUUGGUACAUUGAGUGGCUAAGCGAAAGUGAUAAGUGACCCACCUGGGGAGUACGCUCGCAAGAGUGAA